AUUGUAAACUCCUGUCAUCCGGGAGAAAGACCUGACGAUUAAUAGUCGGCAGGGUUGAUAGUACCGGAAGAGGAAGGGACGGCUAACUUCGUGCCAGCAGCCGCGGUAAUACGAAGGUCCCGAGCGUUGUUCGGAAUCACUGGGCGUAAAGGGAGCGUAGGCGGCGUGGUAAGUCAGAUGUGAAAUCCCGGGGCUCAACCCCGGAACUGCAUCCGAUACUGCCGUGCUAGAGUUUUGGAGAGGUAGCUGGAAUUCACGGUGUAGCAGUGAAAUGCGUAGAUAUCGUGAGGAACACUCGUGGCGAAAGCGAGCUACUGGACAACAACUGACGCUGAGGCUCGAAGGCCAGGGUAGCGAAAGGGAUUAGAUACCCCUGUAGUCCUGGCAGUAAACGGUGUGCGCUUGGUGUGGCGGGAAUCGACCCCUGCCGUGCCGGAGCUAACGCGUUAAGCGCACCGCCUGGGAAGUACGGUCGCAAGACUAAAACUCAAAGAAAUUGACGGGGACCCGCACAAGCGGUGGAGUAUGUGGCUUAAUUCGAUGCAACGCGAAGAACCUUACCUAGGCUUGACAUGGAUUUCUAAGCACGUGAAAGCGUGUGACCCUUCGGGGGACUUCCACAGGUGCUGCAUGGCCGUCGUCAGCUCGUGUCGUGAGAUGUUGGGUUAAGUCCCGCAACGAGCGCAACCCUUGUGAAUAGUUGCCAGCACGUCAUGGUGGGAACUCUAUUCAGACUGCCCAGAUCAACUGGGAGGAAGGUGGGGACGACGUCAGGUCAGUAUGGCCCUUACGCCUAGGGGCUGCACACGUACUACAUGCCCAGUACAUGAGAACCGAGACCGCGAGGUGGAGGAAAUCUACAAAACUGGGCCCAGUUCGGAUUGGAGGCUGCAACUCGCCUCCAUGAAGUUGGGAAUCGCUAGUAA
RNAcentral lists this ribosomal RNA (926 nucleotides) under uncultured bacterium. RNAcentral's name for it is "bacterial SSU rRNA". It matches the Rfam family "Bacterial small subunit ribosomal RNA", at positions 422 to 1341 of the family's 1533-position model. The record is from RNAcentral.